AUCUUUUCUUGCAAGGCAGGAUUUGGCAGCUUCAAACAAAUCAAACAUGAGCCAAGACUUUUCAUUCUCUUUCUCUCGUCCACUUAUUUGUCCAUAAACUCUUCUGACAAAUUUUUCACCAAAACCAGUUGGAUGGGCAGGUGACCAAAAGAGGACCUAUAUUUGGUUGGCGGCUCAGUCGUCCAAGGAUACGGGUCCAUUAAGGAAGAAAGAAAGGGCCAGGCGCAUGGAGAUUGUAUUUUCUGUGGUUCGCAACUUCACAAGUGGGAACAUACGGCAUAUAAGUUCUCUGGAAGUUUUCACUUUCUUCAUUCUCUACUCUACAAGUGGGAGCUGUCCAAUUCAUCCACUAGUUCGCAUGCAAAAGUAAUGCUAAUUAUUUCAACUGGCCCGUUUAUUCCGCUUUGUUUUUUUGCCGUAGUUAAGAAGGGGAUGGGUGGAAAACAAUCACAAGUAUUGACUAUUUGAUGGCAAUCUCUUUAAUAUAGCGGAACCAAUUAAUGUAUGUGAGAUCUAUCUGUAUUAGAUAUGUGAUCAUUAACGAUUUAAUAGAGGCAGACCCAACUAAAGAAGUGGAGUGUCAAUUAAUGUUCCUCUUUGUUUAUAGGGCUAAUAGUAAAAGACGCCCUAAAGAAUUAGAUGACAUUAUAAUUAAGGUGAAAUUGUUUAUU
Molecule: long non-coding RNA, 671 nt
Organism: Prunus persica (peach)
Lineage: Eukaryota; Viridiplantae; Streptophyta; Magnoliopsida; Rosales; Rosaceae
Exons: 2
Source: RefSeq, a predicted model, not a curated record